RNAcentral lists this transfer RNA (88 nucleotides) under Parvicella tangerina. Its description in RNAcentral is "Cryomorphaceae bacterium CECT 30217 tRNA-Ser". It matches the Rfam family "tRNA". From Rfam's summary of the family: Transfer RNA (tRNA) molecules are approximately 80 nucleotides in length. The record is from RNAcentral. Lineage: Bacteria; Pseudomonadati; Bacteroidota; Flavobacteriia; Flavobacteriales; Parvicellaceae.
AGAGAGGUGGCCGAGUGGUUUAAGGCGCAUGCCUGGAAAGCAUGUUGACGCGCAAGUGUCUCGAGGGUUCGAAUCCCUUCCUCUCUGC